ACUAAGAUGUAUCAGGACCUACGCCAGAGGUUCUGGUGGACUAGGAUGAAGAGAGAAAUUGCUCAGUAUAUUGCCAAUUGCGACGUCUGCCGUCGUGUAAAAGCAGAGCAUCAACGGCCUGCUGGCACCCUUCAACCCUUAGCUAUUCCUGAAUGGAAAUGGGAUAAAAUUGGUAUGGAUUUCAUUACCGGUUUUCCCAGAACCAAAAGAGGGAAUAAUGCUAUUUUCGUCGUGGUCGAUCGUCUUUCCAAAGUAGCUCAUUUCUUACCUGUUCGUGAGAGUAUAACCGCUAGCCAACUGGCAGAUUUAUACAUCUCCCGAAUAGUGUCCCUCCAUGGUGUUCCUUUGGAAAUCAAUUCGGAUCGAGGAAGUCUUUUCACCUCU
This 384-nucleotide ribosomal RNA is filed under the name Triticum aestivum (bread wheat). Its description in RNAcentral is "partial small subunit ribosomal RNA". Lineage: Eukaryota; Viridiplantae; Streptophyta; Magnoliopsida; Poales; Poaceae. The record is from RNAcentral.